CCUACGGGAGGCAGCAGUGGGGGAUAUUGCACAAUGGGGGAAACUCUGAUGCAGCGACGCCGCGUGGGCGAAGAAGUAUUUCGGUAUGUAAAGCCCUAUCAGCAGGGAAGAAGAAAUGACGGUACCUGAGUAAGUAGCACCGGCCAAACACGUGCCAGCAGCCGCGGUAAUACGUAUGGUGCAAGCGUUAUCCGGAUUUACUGGGUGUAAAGGGAGCGCAGGGGGCAUGGCAAGCCUGAUGUGAAAGCCCGCGGCCCAACCGCGGGACUGCAUUGGGAACUACCGGGCUGGAGUGCCGGAGAGGUAGGCGGAAUUCCUAGUGUAGCGGUGGAAUGCGUAGAUAUUAGGAGGAACACCAGUGGCGAAGGCGGCCUGCUGGACGGUGACUGACGCUGAGGCUCGAAAGCGUGGGGAGCAAACAGGAUUAGAUACCCCAGUAGUC
Molecule: ribosomal RNA, 442 nt
Filed under: uncultured bacterium
Lineage: Bacteria
Description: partial 16S ribosomal RNA
Rfam family: Bacterial small subunit ribosomal RNA
Source: RNAcentral